AGAAGCGAGGCAGCCGUGAGGCGGAGGACAGGCUGGGGGAUCCCAAAGGGUGCGCUCCAGCCCCCAACCCAGGCACUGGGACUCUGGUGGCACCCUGGGUGGCAGGCAAGCCUUGAAAUCAAGUGCACGAGCCUUGGAAAGGAGGACCGGGAGAGUUAUGGCAUUUAUGAAUGAAGAAGAGAAAGAGAAUCACUCGGAUGGGAAAAGUUAACUGGAUUGUUCCCACCUGCAUGGAUCACCGGAAGCAACUUAGCCGUCUCGCCUUGCGGCCUGGAACCCCUGGCAAUUUCCGGAGCACCGGCAAGAGACUUUUGCACAGUUUCUGCUUGGAGUCUACCGACUGUCUGUCUCAGAGGUCUGGACAGCUGCUUGUUACAUUUGGCUCACGCUAGCUUAAAAAAGGAAUUUAUGGACCUUACUGCAGAACGUCCCAAUUCUUCAGGCCAAGGUGCCUGUGUUCCUGCUCGGUUUCUGGAUUGCUUGGUACUUAAAUGAAACAUCUUAUUAAUCAUUUCCCGGGAAUGCUGUGCAGGCAAAAGGAAAACAAAGGCAUUCAGGAGCCACACCUUUUGAAGGCCCGUUGACACCCCAGAGUCCUUCACAACUACAAGUACAACCCUGGUGUCCUUCACAGCUACAAGUACAAGUCAUGGGGAGCAGAACCAAGGAUUCCAAUCUGAUGGAGAGUCACAUUUACCCUUUCAAACAGAUAAGCAGGCAUAGAGUGUAUUAUACAUCAGUUUCUUGUGACUUUGGUUGAUGUGAGUCCAUCCCCCCAAAAAAGACCAAUAAAUUCUGGAGCACCUGUAA
Molecule: long non-coding RNA, 810 nt
Filed under: Homo sapiens (human)
Lineage: Eukaryota; Metazoa; Chordata; Mammalia; Primates; Hominidae
Description: APCDD1L divergent transcript
Source: RNAcentral